This is an RNA transcript of Panicum virgatum (switchgrass), 3989 nucleotides long. RefSeq lists it as uncharacterized. Lineage: Eukaryota; Viridiplantae; Streptophyta; Magnoliopsida; Poales; Poaceae. The transcript is spliced from 6 exons. The record is from RefSeq and is a predicted model, not a curated record.
UCCAGAUAUGUCCUGGACAACCCUUGCGUAUUACGCCUUUGUGAAGAAGAAACGCUAAACACGAGUCCGUUUUCCCUCUCUACCCAGCCACUCGCCGCCGCCGUCGCCCGCGCCACCGCUACCGCCGCGGAAUUUCCUCGUGCGCGCCGUCGCAGGAGCAAUGGACAAAUUUGUGCGCGUUUACAGUGGUGGGGAGCUCGUGAAGGGGCCAAACGGGGUGGACUUUGGGAACCUUCCUGAAGAGGGUAUAUGGUUCGAGACGGCGCCCACGUUCAGUGAUCUGAUUGACGCUGUGCACAAGAAGCUUGGUUGGCGACAUGAGACACACAAUAUCCGUGCGCAGGGAAGGAUGAAUGUUGGUGGGGGUGCUCAUCGGCACUUCAUCAUGGUUCCUAUCAACGACGAGAUGUCCUGGAGUAGCUAUGUCAAGGCUGUUUUCAAUGGGACUGAGUGGAAUUGUCUGGAGAUUUAUGUUCAAGCAGAAACGCAUUACCCUGCAGAGGCCAUUUCCUCAGAGCCGGCACUAAUGGCUAUUGAACCAGCAGAUGUGCAGUACCAAAAUGCCCAACCUCAACAUCAAGGACGGGGCUCUUUUGAUAUUUCUUCGAUGUCAACCCCCAGUCCACCAGAUCAGCAUUCUCGACAUGGUCGACUGCAAAAACCUAGAAAGAGCACCAGGGCGUGUACAAACAAUGGUGGACGGGUUGGCGCAGAAGUUCAGUCCGGUCAAGAUCAGACUGGGGCUUCAGAGACAGUUGAUACAACUUCCUAUGCUUUAAUUGGGUUGUUUGAUGCUGAUCAUCGUGCUCGAGCUCUAGCAUCUGGGAAGAAUCUAACUGAGCUCAACCCUCGUACCCGUGAGCCUCUUCGGUUUGACAAGCGGUAUGAACGUUACCUUAGGCCGGCUGGGUUGAUGGGGCUCAUGAACAUCUGUAAGGCUGGGCUACCCUCCAUUGACCGUGCACUUGUCUCUGCACUAGUUGAUAGGUGGAGACCUGAGACCCACACCUUUCACAUGCCCUGUGGUGAGGUCACAAUCACACUACAAGAUGUUGCAAUGAUUCUUGGACUUCCUAUUGCUGGCCAUGCUGUCACUGUAAACCCAACAGAGUCCAAGAAUGAAUUGGUUGAGCGAUAUCUUGGGAAGUCACCACCUCCACUGGAUAGGCCUCGCCCUGGGCUGAGGGUUUCAUGGGUCAGGGCUGAGUUUAAUAACUGUCCAGAAGAUGCUGAUGUAGAAACUGUCAAACAGCAUGCUAGGGCAUACAUCCUUAGCCUGAUUAGUGGAGUACUGUUUCCUGAUGCAUCUGGUGAUCUGUACACCUUCUAUCCAUUUCCGCUGAUUGCUGAUCUUGAUAAUAUCGGCUCGUACAGUUGGGGUUCUGCUACUCUGGCAUACCUCUACAGGUCAAUGUGUGCUGCUUGUAGGAGGCAGUCAGAUCAAAGUAAUCUGACUGGUUGUCUUCUGCUCUUGCAACUUUGGUCAUGGGAGCGUUUUCCAAUUGGCAGGCCUGAUAUGGUCAAGCUGAAAUACCCAAAUGUAGAGGAGCUAGAGGAUGAAAGGGAUAAGCCCACAGUUGGUCUCAGAUGGGUUGUGGGUAUGUGUACGCGUCGUGCAGCUCCAGCACGUUGCUAUGAGCACUUCACAAAUGAGUUUGACUUGCUAACAGAUGAUCAGGUUGUGUGGUGCCCAUAUAGGAAGGAACUAGUGAAGGAACUGCAGCUUGCCCCAAUAUGUACCCAGGAUUCUCAUUUAUGGUUAACACAGGCACCAUUAAUUUAUUUCUAUAUGGUGGAGGUUUACACACCUGAGAGAGUGAUGCGCCAAUUUGGUCUCCAUCAGAGCUGCCCACCUCCAUUACGGGACACUAGUGUGGAACUUCAUUGGUGUCGUCGUGGAAGAGUUCAUAAUGAUUGGGCACAGAAGCAUAAGUCUUUUGUGGAUAUUUGGGAAGCAAAGGAGAAACAUGUUAUCAUGGAAGACCGACCAUACAACCAUGAUAACUACAUGGAUUAUUUGAGGUGGUAUAAACGAUCUACACGCAUCCGCCUUUGCACACCAAGGGGAAUUAGUAAUGGGCACAAGGGUGCAACACCUGGGGGAAGUGUGAUUGCUGAUUCUGAAGACCCUUUUCAUGCUUCUCAGCUUCGGUAUACUCCCAGGGCCCAUUUGAUCCAUUCAGUGACGGACAAACUCACUAUCCUGGCAAAAGAUGCUGCUGCUCAAAAAGGAUGCCCCAGAAGUGAAUGCCAUGCAUUUGUUGAAAGGGUCACUAGAACAUGUGUAGAAGUUAUUAGGGAACUCGGUGGAUCGUCGCUUUGUGACAUUGCUGAUGUGAUUGGUUCAUCAACAACAGCAAUAACUGAAGAUGGACUGGAGGUGGAGAACCAGAGGGAUAAGGAGAGAGACAUAAAUCAUUCCAUGGUGCUUGGUCAGGACACCGAGGCAGGACCCCAGUUAGAGAAGCAGUCUGAAAGCCAGGAUGGUCACAAACAAGCCAAAAGAACAGCCCCCUCAAGUUCAUUGGGCAAGAGGAAGAUGAGUAGAUCUGUUCCAAGAUAACUAGUACUCAGUAAGUGCUUUAUAAAUUAUAAUUUAUUUGUGCUAAUUAUUAUUAGAAAAAGAAACAAUUGUAUUUUGCUGCUCGUGUUGGAUAGUCAUAGUGCAUUUUUAUGUUGUGUCAUGAGCUGGUGGAUGGACAAAAAUGUUGUAGAAAAAAUCAUUAUCAGUGACUGUAGAAUAGAUGGAUGAAAUUAAUUUUCUUAGAUGAGAUAUUAUCCAAAAAAUUAUGUCAGCUCAAGCCUCAAUAGGUCUAGGUUAAUUUAUCUGCUAUGCCUAAAUACGGUGGUCCUAUAAGUUUUCUCCGUUGCGCAUACCAAUGUGGAUACUGGACAGGUGCAGAGUGUAAACUAAUGUAUAGUUUCAAUUGGCCUGUUACAUGGACUCAAUCGUAUUAUAUGAAAUCAUGUGGAUUCUAGAUAUAUACCAAAAAAAAACGUCCAUGCAAAUCAGGUUGCAACAAAUGUUUAGCUUAUCAGUGAUUCAGGUCUACAAUCAUAAUGUUAAGCGCAAUCUCAAUCAUAGAAAAUGCAUGGAAAGUAUACUUCUACAUGCAGGAUAAGCCAACCUCAUGAUUUCUCCUGCAGUCCUGCUCCUCCUGUUUGCUUUUUCUUGAAGGAAUUGACUUUAGGUUUAUUACUAUAAAUACAUGUUUUUUGUGAGCAAUUGAGUUUAGCAAAAGGAUGUAAAAUCUGUAUCUGAUUGGGUAAUCCAAGAUAUAUGUCAAUUGAGAUUGAAGCUGCUGAUGGCAGCCGAUGAGCCGGACCCAAACAUAUUUAGUUGCUGAAGCAAGUGAGAUUAAGGUUGUGAAAUUGGUGCUUGGAAUGGCCACUAUACUUUUCACCACUGGAACAUGAUGAUGGAUCCAAAACAGGGAAUUGUUGUCGCUGUGGUAGUCUUGAGCGGCAAGCUAAUCCGUAUCCACUGAGGACUGUAGACAUUGCUGCUCCAGACUCGCCGUCUGAUGUGUCACAAGAGGAGCCAGUAGCAAUGGAAGAGAUGACUAAGGAGAGAUUCAUGGAGAAGCUGCACUGCUGGAUUAUGGUGUUUGCGUCUCAUUUCGCCUCCAUGACGUUCCAAGCAGGGCUCAAUCCCCCAGGGUUAUUCUAGCCUAAUGUCUGCCGCGGAAGCACCCUGAGGAAAUAUGGGUUGUGAUAGACAAUGAUGAUAAUCUGCCCAUCGGCCUGAUGAUUAUGCGUGGCAAUAAUACUCUGGAAGGGGCAAACGAAGCUUCAAAAGAUUAUAAAAUGACGAUGGGUCUCGUUUUGAAACGGCAUCUCUGGUUGUUAUGUUUGAGUUUAGGAUAAGGUCGAGCUUAUCUUUAAUUGUUUAUGCCCAGAUGCAUGCACUCCACUGAUUUUAUCCUGUUUAAUUCUUAUUUUUUGGAGAAGGAUCCAUAAAGAAACUAAAUUAGUUCAGGUUUCCUCUU